RNAcentral lists this ribosomal RNA (253 nucleotides) under uncultured bacterium. RNAcentral's name for it is "partial 16S ribosomal RNA". It matches the Rfam family "Bacterial small subunit ribosomal RNA", at positions 524 to 776 of the family's 1533-position model. The record is from RNAcentral.
UACGUAGGGUGCGAGCGUUAAUCGGAAUUACUGGGCGUAAAGCGUGCGCAGGCGGUUCGUUAAGUCCGAUGUGAAAGCCCCGGGCUCAACCUGGGAACUGCAUUUGAAACUGGCGGGCUUGAGUAUGGCAGAGGGGAGUGGAAUUCCGCGUGUAGCAGUGAAAUGCGUAGAGAUGCGGAGGAACACCGAUGGCGAAGGCAGCCCCCUGGGCCAAUACUGACGCUCAGGCACGAAAGCGUGGGGAGCAAACAGG